RNAcentral lists this transfer RNA (66 nucleotides) under Mileewa alara. Its description in RNAcentral is "tRNA-Pro". The record is from RNAcentral. Lineage: Eukaryota; Metazoa; Arthropoda; Insecta; Hemiptera; Cicadellidae.
CAAUAAAUAGUUUAAUUAAAAUUUAGGUUUUGGGGACUUGGGAUAUAUUUUAUAAUAUUUUAUUGA